This 1421-nucleotide ribosomal RNA is filed under the name uncultured organism. RNAcentral describes it as "SSU rRNA". It matches the Rfam family "Bacterial small subunit ribosomal RNA". The record is from RNAcentral.
CAGGCUUAACACAUGCAAGUCCCCCUUCAACACGGUGUAGCUAUACAUUGGUGGCAACCGGUGCACGGGUGAGUAACGCGUAUGCGACCUAGCUAUCAGAGGGGAAUAACCCAGCGAAAAUCAGACUAAUACCCCAUAAAACAGGGGUUCCACAUGGAAAUAUUUGUUAAAGAAUAAUCGCUGAUAGAUGGGCAUGCGUUCCAUUACAUAGUUGGUGAGGUACCCGCUCACCAGGUCCACAAUGGAUAGGGGUUCUGAAAGGAAGGUCCCCCACACUGGUACUGAGACACGGACCACACUCCUACGGAAGGCAGCAGUGAGGAAUAUUGGUCAAUGGGCCAGAGCCUGAACCAGCCAAGUCGCGUGAAGGAUGAAGGAUCUAUGGUUUGUAAACUUCUUUUAUAUGAGAAUAAAGUGAGGAACGUGUUCCUUUUUGUAUGUACCAUAUGAAUAAGCAUCAGCUAACUCCGUGCCAGCAGCCGCGGUAAUACGGAGGAUGCGAGCGUUAUCCGGAUUUAUUGGGUUUAAAGGGUGCGUAGGCGGUUAAUUAAGUCAGCGGAGAAAGUUUGUGGCUCAACCAUAAAAUUGCCGAUGAAACUGGUUGACUUGAUUAUAUUUGAGGUAGGCGGAAUGCGUGCUGUAGCGCUGAAAUGCAUAGAUAUCACGCAGAGCUCCGAUUGCGAAGGCAGGUUAUUAAACUAUAAGUGACACUGAAGCAGGAAAGCGUGGGGAUCAAACAGGAUUAGAUACCCUGGUAGUCCACGCAGUAAACGAUGAUUACUAGCUGUUUGCGAUACACAGUAAGCGGCACAGCGAAAGCGUUAAGUAAUCCACCUGGGGAGUACGCCGGCAACGGUGAAACUCAAAGGAAUUGACGGGGGUCCGCACAAGCGGAGGAACAUGUGGUUUAAUUCGAUGAUACGUGAGGAACUUUACCCGGGUUUGAACGCAUAUUGACAGCUCUGGAAACAGAGUCUAUAGUAAUAGCAAUUUGUGAGGUGCUGCAUGGUUGUCGUCAGCUCGUGCCGUGAGGUGUGGGCUUAAGUGCCAUAACGAGUGCAACCCUUAUCACUAGUUACUAACAGGUCAAGCUGAGGACUCUAGUGAGACUGCCAGCGUAAGCUGUGAGGAAGGUGGGGAUGACGUCAAAUCAGCACGGCCCUUACAUCCGGGGCGACACACGUGUUACAAUGGUGGGGACAAAGGGCAGCUACCUGGCGACAGGAUGAUAAUCUCCAAACCCCAUCUCAGUUCGGAUCGAAGUCUGCAACCCGACUUUGUGAAGCUGGAUUCGUUAGUAAUCGCGCAUCAGCCAUGGCGCGGUGAAUACGUUCCCGGGCCUUGUACACACCGCCCGUCAAGCCAUGGGAGUUGGGGGUACGAAAGGUCCGUAACCGCAAGGAUCGGCCUAGGGUAAAACC